RNAcentral lists this ribosomal RNA (254 nucleotides) under uncultured bacterium. RNAcentral describes it as "partial 16S ribosomal RNA". It matches the Rfam family "Bacterial small subunit ribosomal RNA", at positions 526 to 779 of the family's 1533-position model. The record is from RNAcentral.
CAGAGGGUGCAAGCGUUAAUCGGAAUUACUGGGCGUAAAGCGAGCGUAGGUGGUCAUUUAAGUCAGAUGUGAAAUCCCCGGGCUUAACCUGGGAACUGCAUCUGAUACUGGGUGACUAGAGUAGGUGAGAGGGAAGUAGAAUUCCAGGUGUAGCGGUGAAAUGCGUAGAGAUCUGGAGGAAUACCGAUGGCGAAGGCAGCUUCCUGGCAUCAUACUGACACUGAGGUUCGAAAGCGUGGGUAGCAAACAGGAUU